Molecule: small RNA, 135 nt
Filed under: Pseudomonas jinjuensis
Lineage: Bacteria; Pseudomonadati; Pseudomonadota; Gammaproteobacteria; Pseudomonadales; Pseudomonadaceae
Source: RNAcentral
UGCGUACAGGGAAAAACGCAGGCCGACAGGGACUUCGGUCGGGACAUCGCCGGAAGCGAUUCAUCAGGAAGAUGAAUAGGGAACAAAUGGAAUAGGGAAAAAAGAGUGGGCGGGUUCAACCCCGCCCCUUUUUUU